Molecule: long non-coding RNA, 1996 nt
Organism: Sarcophilus harrisii (Tasmanian devil)
Lineage: Eukaryota; Metazoa; Chordata; Mammalia; Dasyuromorphia; Dasyuridae
Exons: 2
Source: RefSeq, a predicted model, not a curated record
GAUUGGCUUUAAGGCAUGUCAAUCAAGUUGUUAAGCCUUCGGCUUCUAUCCCCCUCCUUCCUUAAAGGGCUAGGCUUCGCGACCGAGUCGGGAGAGUGAAGGUGAAGAUCGGAGCGCGUGGUUGCGUGGUGACGUUACGAAGCCGGGGCUUGAAGCGAGAGUCGGCCCCGCCCCCGCCCCCGCGCCGCGGUCUGUGCUGAGGGUAUUUGGAACCUCUCGACCUCUUUGCGGCGCGGGUUCCCACUGCGUCGUCUCAUCCCCCCCCCCCCCGCUCCAGCUGGACGGGAAGGGACGCCUUACGUCGUUUCCUGAACCCUGCCAUCCCAACGGAAACUGGUCGGCCCUAGGCCAGGCCGCGUCGCGCGCCGCCGGGCUGGGUGGGGUCCGCCCCCGCUCUAGGGGGGGCUAGCUUGGUUACCUCUCCCCGCCCAGCUUUUUUUCCCUGCCCCGCGCCUUGCGGGCCUGCUUUGGGCGCCGACGAUAUCCCGAGCUCUAGCUAGUAAUAGCGCACACCUUCCGGCCUCGGGACUGUUGUGGCCGAAGGUUCAAGGGACAGUCGCCCCCAAUCACGUUGAACUGUUUUUUUUUUUUUUUUAACGGUAAUAGCUAGUAUUUGUAAAGUGCUUCAAGGCCUUCUCAUUUGAUCCUCCUACGACGGGAAAUGCUAAUUUCCCCUUGAGGCGGGGGUUGGGGGUGUUGUCCCCGCUACGCUUCUGACGGCGGUGGGCGUUUUUGGAGCGGAGUCCUCCUGAGAGCCCCAGUACUGCCCUGACCUGCCAGGACCUUCGCUCGGUGGGACGGCCGCGUCCUAGAGUGAAAUCGGCCGUCCCCGGAGCGGGGAAGUGUGGGGCUUUAACGGCGCGGAAAAGGACCGCCAUGCAGUUUUGCCUUAUCUGAGAAGAGCGCUAAGUGUGGUUAAUGAGCGGCAGAUACUUGUUGCCAACUUGAAAAGUGAAAGAUAACGCCCUUAAAAAAAAAAAAAAAAAAAAAAAGGCGAGCACCUAUAUGUUUAUGAGGUACGAAGAAUUAGACACGGGCCUGCAAAGAGCGCUUUGCAAAUGGUGAAAUGCGAUUUCUGUGAAAUCCGUGGGCCAGGAGACCCUAAGUUCGGCCAGCCGUAGUCUGGCAUGAUAUGAGGGAGGUGCAAGGCCCCAGAUCAGAGAAGAUGGGAGCUGAUCUGAAGUGAAACGUUAGAAACUGAGGAGGAGGGGGGACGUUCCAGGUUAAGAAACCACAGAUGUUUUGCUUGGGGGAAUGAUUCAUGCCUUGAAGAAAUUAUUUCAACAGUUUCAAAGAGUAUGGAUUGGAGAAAGUUCAAACUUGAGGCCAGGAGACCAAUUCGGAAGCUGUGGCAAUAGGGGUCCAGAGGUCAGAGUCACUCCAAGGGUAGUGGCUGUGAAUAGAAAGAUGUGGAUGAAUACAAAAGACAGCAGAAUCAGCAAAACUUGGGCCUGGAUUGGAUGGAGAAGGGAGGAAGAAGUAAAAGGUUAAUGGAAAGAUGGCUAUCCCUCAGUGGACAUGGGUAGCAUGUUGAGUUUGGGACGCCUUUGAGACAUCAAAGUGCAGGUGUCCAGCAUGUUGUCUGAGAUUCAGUGAAGAUUGCAGAUCCAGAAAUCUUUCCAGCUUGGUAGAGCCUACCAGCACUUCUGUUGAACCUGUAUAGACACCUCACCACAGUGAGUUGAGCAUCUUCAUGGGCUAUUAGUGAAGACCAUUGAGGAUGUCAUUCAGAAAAUAGAUGAAUGGAAAAGGGAGGACAUCAUGGAUGUAAUUAAAGCAAGGGAUAAUAGAUAAAAAGUCAAAAUGCUUGAUGGGAUAUUAGAAGAUCUUAAGGAAAGCCACCAGCAUGUUGGGCAAACUCUCUAUGAAGGAGUUAUGGGAAUACUUUGACAAAAAUAGCAAAAGAAGUAAAGGCAUGUAGGAGUUGCAAAAUGCAUCUUUGGAAGGACCCACCACAUCAUUAAAAGAUGUGGAUCUCUUCAGGCAUUGAAAUAAA